UACGUUCAUAUUACAUUGAAUCACUGGAUCCCGUACGAUCACCGAAGUUAAACAACGUCGAUCUGGUCAGUACCUGGAUGGGCGACCGCUUGGGUAAUACAGGUGGUGUAU
Molecule: non-coding RNA, 111 nt
Organism: Acanthosepion pharaonis
Lineage: Eukaryota; Metazoa; Mollusca; Cephalopoda; Sepiida; Sepiidae
Source: the annotation of a GenBank genome assembly